Cydia fagiglandana is the source of this 795-nucleotide long non-coding RNA. RefSeq lists it as uncharacterized. The transcript is spliced from 2 exons. NCBI's taxonomy places the organism in Eukaryota, Metazoa, Arthropoda, Insecta, Lepidoptera, Tortricidae. The record is from RefSeq and is a predicted model, not a curated record.
AACCUAUAUCUCGAUAUAAUCCCUAUAAAAGAUAUUGUUCUGUUUACGGAUGUCUAAAGAACAAGGUUGCAGAAAUAACAUUUUAUUAAAUUCCGGACGAUAUUGAAAGGUGAAUUUAAACUUUAAAACAUAACAUAAAUACUAAGUAAUCAAAUUCGACAACUAAUUCGUUUUGUUUGCAUAAAUGAUUAUUGGUGGCCCAGAAACAAUAUUAGGAACUGACCGACAUAUUUUCAAAGGAAUACGGAUGUGGCAUAUCUACCUACUUCCGUAAGAAUCAGACAUACUAUGUCCGGAUAAAAAAAAUAUGUUUACAGAAUCAACGUUAGUAAUUCCUACAUAUUAAUCUUAAAAAUAAUAAAUCGGUAGGUAUAGGUACAAAAAUUUGUCAAGUUUCAACCCUGUGCCGACGCUCACAGCUCGGUCAUAAAACUGCGGCGCGCAAGGAAGAUUCACGGUUCGUGCGCGGUUACGUAGGUAUAUAAGUUUCAAUUUUGCGUGCAGGUGGCGAGUAUAGGUAUAAUUUUAUACCUAAAUGUGACUUUUGUGAACGAGUGAAUUUUCUGUACGGUAGUACUAUUAGUUAUUCUGUGGUCGCGGGUUCAAACCCCGGCUCGUACCAAUGAGUUUUUCGGAACUUAUGUACGAAAUAACAUUUGAUAUUUACCAGUCGCUUUUCGGUGAAGGAAAACAUCGUGAGGAAACUGGACUAAUCCCAAUAAGGCCUAGUUUACCCUCUGGGUUGGAAGGUCAGAUGGCAGUCACUUUCGUAAAAACUAGUGCCUACGUCAAAUC